CAGUCGCCGCGGGAAAACGGAGGGUGCAAGCGUUAUCCGGAUUUAUUGGGUUUAAAGGGUCCGUAGGCGGACUUAUAAGUCAGUGGUGAAAGCCUGUCGCUUAACGAUAGAACUGCCAUUGAUACUGUAAGUCUUGAGUAUAUUUGAGGUAGCUGGAAUAAGUAGUGUAGCGGUGAAAUGCAUAGAUAUUACUUAGAACACCAAUUGCGAAGGCAGGUUACCAAGAUAUAACUGACGCUGAGGGACGAAAGCGUGGGUAGCGAACAGGAUUAGAUACCCGUGUAGUCCCUGUCUCUUAUAC
RNAcentral lists this ribosomal RNA (301 nucleotides) under uncultured bacterium. RNAcentral's name for it is "partial 16S ribosomal RNA". It matches the Rfam family "Bacterial small subunit ribosomal RNA", at positions 509 to 807 of the family's 1533-position model. The record is from RNAcentral.